UUAGGGCAACAUCUUCCUUUGGCUACUAUUUCACGUGAACGUUGAUGUCUUUUGACAUUUUUACAAUUGUAGAUUGUGAAACAUAAUAACAUCGAAUUUAAUUGGAAUACGUUAGGUUUAGCUAUUUUAUUGCGCUGUUGGCCGUCAAAGGCGUGCAAGCGGUCACAAAUAAGUAACUUUUCACCGAAGUCAGAGACUGUUGACCAUGGCGGAACCAAUGAUGGAUGCAGUGUGCGCAUUCCAGUGUUUAUUUUACGUCAUUGGGGUGUACCCUGUCUCCUGCCCGAUGACAGCUGGAAUUGGCUCCACCACUCCCGUGACCCUUGUGAGGAUAAGCGGGUCAGAAACUGGAUGGAUUGUUCGCCAGCUACUUUCACUUUUACUUUUUGCAGUGAGAUUUGUGCUGACACAACCACAAGUUCUUCAGCAAUGAAUCAUCAUUAAAUCAACAACAAAUCAGAUCAUUGUCGUGCUGCGUGAUACAAGAGCGGUUGGGUUCGAGGGUACUAACUGAUGGCGGACAUUUUCCUUGAAGAUUUUUUGGUACACACUGGAAACCACUGGAAAAAAAACCCAACAACAACAAUGAAUUACAUUAUGAAAACCUUUGGAUGAACACGCAGGGUGAGGCCUACUCAAGAAACACACAGAGUC
Long non-coding RNA from Syngnathoides biaculeatus (alligator pipefish), 654 nucleotides. RefSeq lists it as uncharacterized. NCBI's taxonomy places the organism in Eukaryota, Metazoa, Chordata, Actinopteri, Syngnathiformes, Syngnathidae. The transcript has 3 exons. The record is from RefSeq and is a predicted model, not a curated record.